AAUGAGGCACAGGUGACAUUUGCAUCAGUAUUGUGAUAGCAGUCGAACAAGAUGAAAGGUUUUGUGCUAUUCCUGGUUGUCGUGCUUCUUGCGUACACGUACGCCGCCCCACAGGCAUCUAACUACGGCAAUGUGACGGCGAAUGGCGGCAGUGCCGCUUCUGGAGCCGUGUCAGGCUCCACUUUUGGCGAUGGGGCAUUCAGCACAAGACCAAGAAUGUGUGGAUGGUUGAUCUUAUUUCCUUGCUGAGUGUGCAGUGAAAAGCCUAUACCUUAUUAUCUCUAACUGUUCGAAGAACACUUGAAUGUUUUUUUUUUUUAAUAGUGACUAGUUAUUCUAUAUGCAUACUAAUACCGAAUAUGUAAACAAUAAUUUAGACAAAUAAUGUAAAUGUUACUUGAAAUAAAUGAUUGUAAAAAACUA
This is a long non-coding RNA of Helicoverpa zea (corn earworm), 423 nucleotides long. RefSeq lists it as uncharacterized. The record is from RefSeq and is a predicted model, not a curated record. The transcript is spliced from 3 exons. NCBI's taxonomy places the organism in Eukaryota, Metazoa, Arthropoda, Insecta, Lepidoptera, Noctuidae.